GGUGCGAUUGCGCCCUCUCGUUGCGCACCGCGCGGUUGGCUGCGCCAAAGCUGAAAGCCCACAGCUCACUCGAACCCUAGCCGCCACAUCCCGUCAGCAUCACAGGCGCCGGCGCGCCGCACCCCCUAUUCCUCCUUUCUCCUCGUCUGAAUAGCCGCCGGCCGCCGCACCGCUUCUUCCCCUUCCUCCUACCUCCCUUAUCCCUGCCCCCAAUCCACAUCCUCCUCCUCCCUUCCUUCCUUCCAGAUCGGGGAGUAAGAUGGCGGGCGGCAGAGCGUGGGGUCGAUGGCAGCGGCUGGACGAGGUCGUCCACAGGCGAGGAAUGGCCGCCAAGCUUGUUCCUCCGACCGCCGCACUGGAGCCCCGGCGGCUGAGCCUGCAGUGGCACCGGUAGUCCGUCCGUGCUCGUCCUCCUCCUCCUCUCUCUCUCUCCCGUGCAGCCGCCCUCCUCCCUCGUCGAUUGACUCGACCUCAGUCCACCUCUGUGUGCUCUCCUCCUAUUAUGCGGGCACUCGGCGGCAGGGAGCAUGGCGGCGACCGGGGCUGCUGGACAGUAGGUGCUCGCCGAGGUGGUCCAUGCCUGGGAAGACGGCGACAUCUUCCGGCGACAAGGAAGUGAAGACGGCCAUUCGUCGUGCCAUGAGCUCCAUUCAUAUUACUAUAUGCUUAAAACAUCGUGCUCUCCUUAUCUACAUCAUGUGGUAGUAGUAUUUACUUGCCAUUCAUGCAUCUUGUUCCAUCAUGUCAGUCAUAUCUUACAUAUCACGCUUGACUGGUUUGUUCAAUUCCUCUACUAUGCUUUUCUGUCGUGUUUUUCAAACAUUCUCGGUUACUAUAGAUUAUCAUGAUAUCUUGCUGCAAUGCAUUCAAACCUGCAAAUAGCUUUGUAAACAGAGUUAUGUGCCCAGGCUUUGGCGGAGGUGUGCUCUUGUCUUGUCUUUCAUAAUAUUCGCCUUUAUUGCGUGCACAAUCAGUUGGUGGUACCCAGUGGAGGUUGAAUUGUUAGUACUUAUGCCUCUGAUUUUGUGGGGUAGUUAGUGUAUGCCUGCAUGCCUCAUUGGAAAUAUUACUGCAUGAUACCAUACAGAUAUUUCAGUUUAUAAACUGAUAAGGUAAUUAUGAGUUUAUUAGAGAGUACAGAUUUGCUCAGCUACUAGCCUACAAUGACUUGUAUAUUUGUAAAUAGUGAAGUACUCUAUGCACCUUAAAAAUAAUCUUUAAGUGAAAGAUGCAGUUACUUUACAUUAGUACCUUCGCCAUUUAGGCAGGGUGGAGGCGACGCACAAGGACGCCUCUAGCACGUUCACCGCCAGCCGUUGCCGUUGCUUUCUUCUUUUUUGGCUUAUAUUUCUUAAUACCUAAAGUGAAUGCCUGGUACUCAUUCUCCUAAUGUUUCAAGGUAUUUCUCAUUAUUAGAGCAUUUACAUUGCUUUACAGAGUAUACAUCAAGCACAGUUGAAGUACAUAUCAAAUAGUUGUAUUCCAGAGUUGUUUGAUUCGCAUGAUAAAGAUUCUAAAAAUAGUUCCCAUGCCAUAAUAAGUUAUAAUGUUUUGUUUCUCUUAUAUUUAUAUGUUUACACCACUGCUUUUGUUCCAAUUUUAUUGGAGGCUCAUAUUAGGUCGCUUUGGAGGCUGAAAUCAGGUGGCUGCUCAUGUCUGGCUUGGUGGCUUGGUGCCUAUAUUUUAGAUGUUCCAUUAAUCUUGGCUGCUUUUCUCACCAGUUUUGGGCUUUAACCUUGGAUCUAGAAGGUUGCAGCUUCUUUGUUCUCCUACUCAAGAUUUGCUCACUUUCUAGCUGGUUGCUGCAUCAUUUACUUUUUCCUCUGUUCAAGGAUGUAUCGUACACAUUGUCACCUUUUUCCUCUAUUCAGAUAUCGGUGUUGCCUAAUUAAAAAAUGAACAACAAUACCAGUUGUACCAGUUGAAGUUUUUUCUUUCUGAAUUGAGUAGUUAAGAGUUCAGUCUUCCUAUAGAAUCUCCAGGAGUUUAGUUAGGCAUUCUGAAAAAGAGAAGUCUUGUUGAUCAGACGGCUAAACGCUCAUAUCGCUCCUAAACUUGAUACACUGUUUUCCUUUUGAUAUGUCUUGCCAAGCAGAGCGACCAAUGCAAGGAGGACCAAGAUCUAGGACGGUGAGCCUCGCCUAGCUCUUCCACCUCUUCCACCUAUCAUGGAGGAGGGACGAAGGGGGAGAAGAUUACAGCAUGAUUCAGGAUCAGUUGAGGGUUGAAUGCUUCAAUGGUUCCAGAAAGCUUCAUCCACAAUCCUGACAAAUAUUUCCUUUGAUGUCACAAAGCAUACCAAGAAUUUGAAGUGAGUACGUUUUAUCCCAGCUAACCUGUCAGGCUGUCACCUUUUAGCGAUGUCAUGAAAAAUGAACAUAUGGCAGUCAUUUAUUAUUAAUCUUGUGGUGACAUAUGCAUGACUAUUAGUAGAAUACUUUGUAGUAAGUUGUGUGUAAAUGUUGUGUAGAGAAGGCGAUAGGGAGACUGACGGGGCAUAGAGUGCUUCCGUGUGUUGGGGUAUUUAGCUGAUUGCUCAUUUGGGAGCACUCAAUAGCAUGUUGCAUCUUUAAUUUUAUGAAAUAAAUGCCUUCCUUUGUUUGCUCA
Molecule: RNA transcript, 2607 nt
Organism: Triticum aestivum (bread wheat)
Lineage: Eukaryota; Viridiplantae; Streptophyta; Magnoliopsida; Poales; Poaceae
Exons: 4
Source: RefSeq, a predicted model, not a curated record